UUGGGAAUUUUUUGAAUGAUCCUAAAGAGUAGAACUUGAGAGCUUGCUCGUCGGACACCGCUUCGACCUGGCUCGGUGCUAGGGGAUAGUCACACGGUGGUAGGUAGGGCCAGGCAAGAUCAAGCAGAUGUGUGGCAGUGAUAGGGGUUAGUGGCGAUGAUAGGGCUCUGAGGAACAGCUGGCUAGGUACCGUUAAAGGCACGGGUAGGGUUGCUAGACGUCGCAUGCCGCACUCGGUUUUGACCCAAGGCCUUCAGCCUUACGGCGGGUGGAGGUGGCACGACAUCUUUCCUAAUAAGGUUGAGCUCUAAGAUCUUAGCAAAAUGGGCUCAUAUGAGGUGAAAUAUAGAGAAGAAAGACAUGGGUAGGCUUACAAUAUUAUUUGGGACUUUUGGUGAUUUUUGAAGAAUUUUUGGAAGUGGCUAAGGGCUUUAAGUAGAAAUUGGUGUACACUAGCGGGGUGCAUGUAGCAGUUCUAGGGGUGCUGACACAAGGUGGCGGGGUCCGUGGGUACUGUGCUGUGGACCGGGGGUUGUGGAAGCAUGGGUGGGUGUGUGGUCCACGUGCGCCGGGCGCACGGGGGAGUGAGUGGAGGAGGGGACGGCGGGGACUGACGACAUUGGUGGUUGGGCUGCCUGUCAGGUUUAAGAGAAGGGGAGGGAUGAUGGAGGGAGAUGGCGUACCAGCCUGGUGCCGGAGCCAUGCGGCGCUAUCGCGCUUGCCAUGAGCGCCGCUGCGGAGGCUCGCCGGAGCAUGCUGAUCCGGCACUUCCGGCCGCGCGCAGCUUGUGCACCUUUAGAAUAAGGAGCUCACUCAUGGUGUCAGGGAGGAGAAGGAAAGGAUCUCACUCAUGAAGGAGCAAG
This 863-nucleotide long non-coding RNA is filed under the name Setaria viridis. RNAcentral describes it as "long non-coding RNA (SVIR_LNC003030)". The record is from RNAcentral. Lineage: Eukaryota; Viridiplantae; Streptophyta; Magnoliopsida; Poales; Poaceae.